UGAUACGGAAGGUCCAGGCGUUAUCCGGAUUUGUUGGGUUUAAAGGGAGCGCAGGCGGACUCUUAAGUCAGUUGUGAAAUACGGCGGCUCAACCGUCGGACUGCAGUUGAUACUGGGAGUCUUGAGUGCACACAGGGAUGCUGGAAUUCAUGGUGUAGCGGUGAAAUGCUCAGAUAUCAUGAAGAACUCCGAUCGCGAAGGCAGGUAUCCGGGGUGCAACUGACGCUGAGGCUCGAAAGUGCGGGUAUCAAACAGGAUUAGAUACCCUGGUAGUCCGCACAGUAAACGAUGAAUACUCGCGGUUGGCGAUAUACAGUCAGCCGCCAAGCGAAAGCGUUAAGUAUUCCACCUGGGGAGUACGCCGGCAACGGUGAAACUCAAAGGAAUUGACGGGGGCCCGCACAAGCGGAGGAACAUGUGGUUUAAUUCGAUGAUACGCGAGGAACCUUACCCGGGCUUGAACUGAGGGGGAAUGAGCCAGAGAUGACUCAGUCUUCGGACUCCCUUGGAGGUGCUGCAUGGUUGUCGUCAGCUCGUGCCGUGAGGUGUCGGCUUAAGUGCCAUAACGAGCGCAACCCUCAUCCUCGUUUGCCAUCAGGUAAUGCUGGGCACUCCGGGGAUACUGCCAUCGUAAGAUGUGAGGAAGGUGGGGAUGACGUCAAAUCAGCACGGCCCUUACGUCCGGGGCUACACACGUGUUACAAUGGGCGGUACAGAGGGCAGCCACCACGCGAGUGGGAGCUAAUCCUCAAAGCCGUUCUCAGUUCGGACUGGAGUCUGCAACCCGACUCCACGAAGCUGGAUUCGCUAGUAAUCGCGCAUCAGCCAUGGCGCGGUGAAUACGUUCCCGGGCCUUGUACACACCGCCCGUCAAGCCAUGAAAGCCGGGAGCACCUGAAGACCGUGACCGCA
RNAcentral lists this ribosomal RNA (912 nucleotides) under uncultured Paraprevotella sp. RNAcentral's name for it is "bacterial SSU rRNA". It matches the Rfam family "Bacterial small subunit ribosomal RNA", at positions 521 to 1438 of the family's 1533-position model. Lineage: Bacteria; Pseudomonadati; Bacteroidota; Bacteroidia; Bacteroidales; Prevotellaceae. The record is from RNAcentral.